AUAGCGUAUAUUAAAGUUGUUGCGGUUAAAAAGCUCGUAGUUGGAUCUCAGUUCAUGCUAUGUGGUCCACCUUAUGGUGGUUACUGCUUAGCUGAACAUUUUACAGAUUUGUCUCUUGAUGCUCUUCACCGAGUGUCAUGAGCGAUCUGUACGUUUACUUUGAACAAAUUAGAGUGCUUAAAGCAGGCAUCUCGCCCGAAUAAUCAUGCAUGGAAUAAUGGAAUAGGACCUUGGUUCUAUUUUGUUGGUCUUCGGAAUCCGAGGUAAUGAUUAAGAGGGACAGACGGGUGCAUUCGUAUUGCGGCGCUAGAGGUGAAAUUCUUGGACCGUCGCAAGACGAACUACAG
RNAcentral lists this ribosomal RNA (347 nucleotides) under uncultured eukaryote. Its description in RNAcentral is "SSU rRNA". It matches the Rfam family "Eukaryotic small subunit ribosomal RNA", at positions 594 to 945 of the family's 1831-position model. The record is from RNAcentral.